This 465-nucleotide ribosomal RNA is filed under the name Vreelandella stevensii. RNAcentral describes it as "partial 16S ribosomal RNA". It matches the Rfam family "Bacterial small subunit ribosomal RNA", at positions 338 to 795 of the family's 1533-position model. The record is from RNAcentral. Lineage: Bacteria; Pseudomonadati; Pseudomonadota; Gammaproteobacteria; Oceanospirillales; Halomonadaceae.
CCUACGGGUGGCAGCAGUGGGGAAUAUUGGACAAUGGGCGAAAGCCUGAUCCAGCCAUGCCGCGUGUGUGAAGAAGGCCUUCGGGUUGUAAAGCACUUUCAGUGGGGAAGAAAGCCUUGGGGCUAAUACCCUCGAGGAAGGACAUCACCCACAGAAGAAGCACCGGCUAACUCCGUGCCAGCAGCCGCGGUAAUACGGAGGGUGCGAGCGUUAAUCGGAAUUACUGGGCGUAAAGCGCGCGUAGGCGGUCUGAUAAGCCGGUUGUGAAAGCCCCGGGCUCAACCUGGGAACGGCAUCCGGAACUGUCAGGCUAGAGGGCAGGAGAGGAAGGUAGAAUUCCCGGUGUAGCGGUGAAAUGCGUAGAGAUCGGGAGGAAUACCAGUGGCGAAGGCGGCCUUCUGGACUGACACUGACGCUGAGGUGCGAAAGCGUGGGUAGCAAACAGGAUUAGAUACCCUGGUAGUC